UCGUAGGUGAACCUGCGGAAGGAUCAUUAC
RNAcentral lists this ribosomal RNA (30 nucleotides) under Diplodia mutila. RNAcentral's name for it is "partial 18S ribosomal RNA". RNAcentral also lists the same sequence under 1 other name. The record is from RNAcentral. Lineage: Eukaryota; Fungi; Ascomycota; Dothideomycetes; Botryosphaeriales; Botryosphaeriaceae.